This 1399-nucleotide ribosomal RNA is filed under the name Pantoea agglomerans pv. betae. RNAcentral's name for it is "bacterial LSU rRNA". It matches the Rfam family "Bacterial large subunit ribosomal RNA", at positions 1550 to 2925 of the family's 2925-position model. The record is from RNAcentral. Lineage: Bacteria; Pseudomonadati; Pseudomonadota; Gammaproteobacteria; Enterobacterales; Erwiniaceae.
UUAACGCUGAGGCGUGACGACGAGGCACUACGGUGCUGAAGUGAUAAAUGCCCAGCUUCCAGGAAAAGCCUCUAAGCAUCAGGUAACACAGAAUCGUACCCCAAACCGACACAGGUGGUCAGGUAGAGAAUACCAAGGCGCUUGAGAGAACUCGGGUGAAGGAACUAGGCAAAAUGGUGCCGUAACUUCGGGAGAAGGCACGCUGGCGCGUAGGUGGAGGGACUUGCUCCCCGAGCCGAAGCCAGUCGAAGAUACCAGCUGGCUGCAACUGUUUAUUAAAAACACAGCACUGUGCAAACACGAAAGUGGACGUAUACGGUGUGACGCCUGCCCGGUGCCGGAAGGUUAAUUGAUGGGGUUAUCCGUAAGGAGAAGCUCUUGAUCGAAGCCCCGGUAAACGGCGGCCGUAACUAUAACGGUCCUAAGGUAGCGAAAUUCCUUGUCGGGUAAGUUCCGACCUGCACGAAUGGCGUAAUGAUGGCCAGGCUGUCUCCACCCGAGACUCAGUGAAAUUGAACUCGCUGUGAAGAUGCAGUGUACCCGCGGCAAGACGGAAAGACCCCGUGAACCUUUACUACAGCUUGACACUGAACAUUGAGCCUUGAUGUGUAGGAUAGGUGGGAGGCUUUGAAGCGCGGACGCCAGUUCGCGUGGAGCCAACCUUGAAAUACCACCCUUUAAUGUUUGAUGUUCUAACGUAGGCCCGUUACCCGGGCUGCGGACAGUGUCUGGUGGGUAGUUUGACUGGGGCGGUCUCCUCCUAAAGAGUAACGGAGGAGCACGAAGGUCAGCUAAUCACGGUCGGACAUCGUGAGGUUAGUGCAAUGGCAUAAGCUGGCUUGACUGCGAGAGUGACGGCUCGAGCAGGUGCGAAAGCAGGUCAUAGUGAUCCGGUGGUUCUGAAUGGAAGGGCCAUCGCUCAACGGAUAAAAGGUACUCCGGGGAUAACAGGCUGAUACCGCCCAAGAGUUCAUAUCGACGGCGGUGUUUGGCACCUCGAUGUCGGCUCAUCACAUCCUGGGGCUGAAGUAGGUCCCAAGGGUACGGCUGUUCGCCGUUUAAAGUGGUACGCGAGCUGGGUUUAGAACGUCGUGAGACAGUUCGGUCCCUAUCUGCCGUGGGCGCUGGAGAAUUGAGGGGGGUUGCUCCUAGUACGAGAGGACCGGAGUGAACGCACCACUGGUGUUCGGGUUGUCAUGCCAAUGGCAUUGCCCGGUAGCUAAGUGCGGAAAAGAUAAGUGCUGAAAGCAUCUAAGCACGAAACUUGCCCCGAGAUGAGUUCUCCCUGACUCCUUGAGAGUCCUGAAGGGACGUUGAAGACUACGACGUUGAUAGGCCGGGUGUGUAAGCGCAGCGAUGCGUUGAGCUAACCGGUACUAAUGACCCGUGAGGCUUAACC